Molecule: small nucleolar RNA, 138 nt
Filed under: Ornithorhynchus anatinus (platypus)
Lineage: Eukaryota; Metazoa; Chordata; Mammalia; Monotremata; Ornithorhynchidae
Source: RNAcentral
CCCCUCUCAGGGUCGCACCUGGAGAGUUUCCAGUACUCUACCAGUCUCGGCUAUGGGAGGGAGAGUCAAGCAGAGGCAUACCCAUUCCAUUCCUAGCUUGGCCAGUGGCUAAUGAGUGGAAGGCCACAAGCAACAAGU